GACGAACGCUGGCGGCGUGCUUAACACAUGCAAGUCGAACGGAAAGGCCCUGCUUUUGUGGGGUGCUCGAGUGGCGAACGGGUGAGUAACACGUGAGUAACCUGCCCUGGACUUUGGGAUAACGUCAGGAAACUGGGGCUAAUACCGGAUAGGAGCUCCUGCUGCAUGGUGGGGGUUGGAAAGUUUCGGCGGUUGGGGAUGGACUCGCGGCUUAUCAGCUUGUUGGUGGGGUAGUGGCUUACCAAGGCUUUGACGGGUAGCCGGCCUGAGAGGGUGACCGGCCACAUUGGGACUGCGAUACGGCCCAGACUCCUACGGGAGGCAGCAGUGGGGAAUAUUGCACAGUGGGCGGAAGCCUGAUGCAGCAACGCCGCGUGCGGGAUGACGGCCUUCGGGUUGUAAACCGCUUUCGCCUGUGACGAAGCGUGAGUGACGGUAAUGGGUGAAGAAGCACCGGCUAACUACGUG
Molecule: ribosomal RNA, 468 nt
Filed under: uncultured bacterium
Lineage: Bacteria
Description: partial 16S ribosomal RNA
Rfam family: Bacterial small subunit ribosomal RNA
Source: RNAcentral